Molecule: transfer RNA, 69 nt
Filed under: Ictidomys tridecemlineatus (thirteen-lined ground squirrel)
Lineage: Eukaryota; Metazoa; Chordata; Mammalia; Rodentia; Sciuridae
Description: Spermophilus tridecemlineatus (thirteen-lined ground squirrel) tRNA
Rfam family: tRNA
About the family: Transfer RNA (tRNA) molecules are approximately 80 nucleotides in length. Their secondary structure includes four short double-helical elements and three loops (D, anti-codon, and T loops).
Source: Rfam by way of RNAcentral
GGGGUUGUGGCUCAGUUGUAGAGUGCUUGCCUUGCAUGUAUGAGGCCCUGGGUUUGAUCCUCAGCACCA